This 254-nucleotide ribosomal RNA is filed under the name uncultured bacterium. RNAcentral's name for it is "partial 16S ribosomal RNA". It matches the Rfam family "Bacterial small subunit ribosomal RNA", at positions 524 to 776 of the family's 1533-position model. The record is from RNAcentral.
UACGUAGGGACCAAGCGUUGUUCGGAUUUACUGGGCGUAAAGGGCGCGUAGGCGGCGUGUCAAGUCAAUUGUGAAAUCUCCGGGCUUAACCUCGGAACGGUCAAUUGAUACUGAUGUGCUAGAGUGCAGAAGGGGCAAUCGGAAUUCUUGGUGUAGCGGUGAAAUGCGUAGAUAUCAAGAGGAACACCUGAGGUGAAGACGGGUUGCUGGGCUGACACUGACGCUGAGGCGCGAAAGCGUGGGGAGCGAACAGG